Molecule: microRNA, 21 nt
Filed under: Medicago truncatula (barrel medic)
Lineage: Eukaryota; Viridiplantae; Streptophyta; Magnoliopsida; Fabales; Fabaceae
Description: mtr-miR1510b-3p
Source: miRBase by way of RNAcentral
ACAUGGUCGGUAUCCCUGGAA